Molecule: ribosomal RNA, 357 nt
Filed under: Triticum aestivum (bread wheat)
Lineage: Eukaryota; Viridiplantae; Streptophyta; Magnoliopsida; Poales; Poaceae
Description: partial small subunit ribosomal RNA
Source: RNAcentral
UUUGAGUUGAAGCCUUACGCACCAUGGAUUAUGCGAUUCAUCAGAACAAGGUCUUCACUCAACUACAAGGCUGACACUCUCAACCAUUGCAGCUACUUACCCCCCAUUGAAGUCCUCAAAAGGACAUUUUCCUCAGCUGAUGAAAAGGGCAAGGCCGCUGCUGUUAUAGAUGAAGGCAUUCGUCCAUUGGAUGGUCAGUUUUGCAAAGCUGCAUCUUAUUCCACCAAUGAUGACUCUGCCACUCAUGAUUCUGCUGCUAAUGCUUCCAAGCCAAAUCCUCAAGCUACUGCUCCUCGAGUGAUGACUGACCGUGAGCUGCUUCUUAGUCUUCACCAGAAGGUGGAUGAAACCAUAAAU